This 460-nucleotide ribosomal RNA is filed under the name uncultured bacterium. RNAcentral's name for it is "partial 16S ribosomal RNA". It matches the Rfam family "Bacterial small subunit ribosomal RNA", at positions 338 to 795 of the family's 1533-position model. The record is from RNAcentral.
CCUACGGGAGGCAGCAGGGAGGAAUAUUGGUCAAUGGACGAGAGUCUGAACCAGCCAAGUAGCGUGAAGGAUGACUGCCCUAUGGGUUGUAAACUUCUUUUAUAAAGGAAUAAAACGAGGCACGUGUGCCUUUUUGCAUGUACUUUAUGAAUAAGGAUCGGCUAACUCCGUGCCAGCAGCCGCGGUAAUACGGAGGAUCCGAGCGUUAUCCGGAUUGAUUGGGUUUAAAGGGAGCGUAGAUGGGUUGUUAAGUCAGUUGUGAAAGUUUGCGGCUCAACCGUAAAAUUGCAAUUGAUACUGGCAGUCUUGAGUACAGUUGAGGUAGGCGGAAUUCGUUGUGUAGCGGUGAAAUGCUUAGAUAUCACGAAGAACCCCGAUUGCGAAGGCAGCUUACUAAACUGUGACUGACAUUGAUGCUCGAAAGUGUGGGUAUCAAACAGGAUUAGAUACCCUUGUAGUC